This 459-nucleotide ribosomal RNA is filed under the name uncultured bacterium. RNAcentral describes it as "bacterial SSU rRNA". It matches the Rfam family "Bacterial small subunit ribosomal RNA", at positions 339 to 794 of the family's 1533-position model. The record is from RNAcentral.
CUACGGGAGGCAGCAGUGAGGAAUAUUGGUCAAUGGGCGAGAGCCUGAACCAGCCAUCCCGCGUGCAGGAAGACGGCCCUAUGGGUUGUAAACUGCUUUUUAGCAAGAAGAAAGGUAUCCUCGAGCAGGGUAUUUGACGGUAUUGCGAGAAUAAGCACCGGCUAACUCCGUGCCAGCAGCCGCGGUAAUACGGAGGGUGCAAGCGUUAUCCGGAUUUAUUGGGUUUAAAGGGUGCGCAGGCGGUAAGAUAAGUCAGUGGUGAAAUGUUGCAGCUUAACUGUAGAUGUGCCAUUGAGACUGUUUUACUUGAGUUAUCCUGAGGUAGGCGGAAUGUGUAGUGUAGCGGUGAAAUGCUUAGAUAUUACACAGAACACCGAUUGCGGAGGCAGCUUACCAAGGGUCAACUGACGCUCAGGCACGAAAGCGUGGGGAUCGAACAGGAUUAGAUACCCCGGUAGC